GUCCACGCCGUAAACGAUGGGCACUAGGUCCUUGGGGGAGCGACCCCUUGAGGGCCGGCGCUAACGCAUUAAGUGCCCCGCCUGGGGAGUACGGCCGCAAGGCUGAAACUCAAAGGAAUUGACGGGGGCCCCGCACAAGCGGUGGAGCAUGUGGUUUAAUUCGACGCAACGCGAAGAACCUUACCUGGGCUUGACAUGCACGGGAACUCGUGGGGAAACCUGCGGGGCUCUUCGGAGCUCGUGCACAGGUGCUGCAUGGCUGUCGU
Molecule: ribosomal RNA, 266 nt
Filed under: uncultured bacterium
Lineage: Bacteria
Description: partial 16S ribosomal RNA
Rfam family: Bacterial small subunit ribosomal RNA
Source: RNAcentral